RNAcentral lists this ribosomal RNA (620 nucleotides) under fungal endophyte. RNAcentral's name for it is "eukaryotic LSU rRNA". The stretch from base 179 to 332 matches the Rfam family "5.8S ribosomal RNA". The record is from RNAcentral. Lineage: Eukaryota; Fungi.
UAAAGAGUUCUAUAACUCCCAAACCCAUGUGAACAUACCUAACGUUGCCUCGGCAGGUCGCACCUACCUUGUAGCACCCUACCCUGUAGGGCCUACCCGGGAGGUGCGGGUAAGCCUGCCGGCGGCCCACCAAACUCUGUUUGAUAUUGAAUUCUGAACCUAUAACUAAAUAAGUUAAAACUUUCAACAACGGAUCUCUUGGUUCUGGCAUCGAUGAAGAACGCAGCGAAAUGCGAUAAGUAAUGUGAAUUGCAGAAUUCAGUGAAUCAUCGAAUCUUUGAACGCAUAUUGCGCCCAUUAGUAUUCUAGUGGGCAGGACCGUUCGAGCGUCAUUUCAACCCUUAAGCCUUCGUUGCUUAGUGUUGGGAGCCUACGGCAACGUAGCUCCUCAAAGUUAGUGGCGGAGUUGGUUCACACUCUAGACGUAGUAAUUUUUUAUCUCGCCUAUUAGUUGGACUAAUCCCCUGCCGUAAAACCCCCAAUUUAUCAAGGUUGACCUCGAAUCGGUUCAGACAAACUCGCUAAAUUGAAGCAUCUUAGUCAGCGAAGGAAAAGAAACCAACAGGGAUUGCCCUAGUAACGGCGAGUGAAGCGGCAACAGCUCAAAUUUGAAAUCUGGC